Long non-coding RNA from Triticum urartu, 667 nucleotides. RefSeq lists it as uncharacterized. The record is from RefSeq and is a predicted model, not a curated record. Lineage: Eukaryota; Viridiplantae; Streptophyta; Magnoliopsida; Poales; Poaceae.
GAAAAGAGUUCUGGGAAACCAUGUGAAUGGAUACAACCAGUUAGCUACGAUUGCUUGCUGUAGCUUUUCCUAAAUUCAACAAUAUCUAAUUUUCAGUACUGUUAUAUCUAAAUGUCAAACCAAGGCAUACAUAUUCAGAGAAAGAAGAUAAGUUUAGUUUGGUUUGUACUGCAGGCUCACAUAUCCGUUCAUUGGUUUGUACUGCAGACGGUCAGAACCACAAACUAAUCGAGGAAGAAGAUAAGGGACUUGUUAACUGGUUUUUUUCUUUUUUGUUGAGAAUUUGUUAGCUGAUGGCUUGAUGUGCUGCGGGCGUCCGAAAUACGAGCGGUCCAGUGGCGGGCCGCGAACAAUCUCCCCGGCUGCAAUGGGCAGUGGGGGAAGGCAGCGGGGUGCCUCAAAAAAAAAAGGGCGGCACGCCGGUGAUCGGAGUCUGACAUCGACGUCGCCUCUUCCGGCCGCCAUUUUCCUCUCUGAUUAGAUUGCCCCCGGCUCGGAUUCUGCGGAGAGCCUCGACCGCAACCCAACAUCGAUUAUUUCACCCGACGGGACCACAAGUAUCAGGAAUUCAGCCCGGAGCUAUACACGCAAGCUAUUGAUCUACAACAUAGAUAUGCAAAAUAUUAUCAGGUACUAAAUUUAUAAUAAAUUAAAGUUCAAUUAAUCA